AAAAAUGUCACUCCCUUACUUUCUUCCAUCUUCUUCUUCUCUCUUCUCCGCCGGUCCAAUUCCGAUCAAAACUCCGUUCACUCUCUGAAUCUCAUGAACUCUCACUGCUAAACUCCGAAACCUCCCCAACCCAUUGUUCUCUGUAAUUUCAUCUACCUCCAAUGGCUUCCAAGGACCCUGAGGAGGCCGCCAACACGGCCACUGAGGAAGGAAGUUUGGCCUUCAAGAAGAAGCGGGCCCGACGCGUGAGCUUUGCCGACGUCGAGAUCACUUCGGUGCAUAUCUUUAAGCGUGACGAGGACUACGAGACGCCUCUUGAGCCCCAAGCCACUCCCGAGGCUGCUCCUCCGGACAACGAGGUCCUAGGGUUCUUCAGGAACUUGGUUGAUAGCGAUGAUUCUCUUGAAUCUUCGCCUAAUUUGGAUGAUGAUGUUCUUGGGCAGAGGAAAUCGUUUCUGAGACCACUUGGAUCGCCGUCGCCGGGGAGUAUUUCUGCCGGCUCUGCAACUUCCAAUGAUGAAGACAAUUUUUUUGGACCUGUAGCAGCGAAUUUCAUUAGACCCAGGCGGUUGUCUGAUUCUGCUGCCUCCGAUGAUAAUCAUGACGUUACAAUGGAUUCAACAGCAUUUUCAAUGCAUUUUCGUAGCCUUGCUGAAUCAGACUCGGGGAGGGAGCUCAAAACUCCUACGGCUAUUCGGUCUGCAUUUGGAGAGAGAACACCGACCCGGAACACCAUGCCUACUAACUCCGACAGUUUUAUGACACUAACGAUGGCUGACAAGCUGAUUUUGCCAUCUUCGCAAUCUGGUGAUUUGGUAAGAAGUGAAGAUUCUAAUGCAAUGAGCAUCGUGGGAGAGAACUCUAAUAAAUACGAUUAUGGGAGAUUAUCUCCCUCUUUCGAUGCACUUUUGACUGAAGGAAGCAGGGAACUCUAUACUGUUUCGGUGGAUGAAAAAUUGUCCAAACAGAUUGAGACUCGUGAAGUUGAUCAGAUUGGACAACGCAAAUAUGAUAUGGAAAUUUGUGAGAGAACCGAAAUGGAAGCUGUUAGUAAGGGAAUCAACCAAUAUGCCAAACAGGGAGUUGAGGAAAGUAUACUCAACAAUGUCACACCCCAUGAAGUUUUUCAAUCCAAUGGUUUGUUACAAAGAAAAUUGUCAGAUGGGUGGGCUAAGGAAGAUUUUCUGAUUGAUAAGAGGCCUGAGACACCAAGAAGUGUUGACUAUAAGCUGAAAAAUAUAUCUCCGCAAAAAAGAUCAUUUUCUGCUGAACAGAAAACAUCUUUGGCUACUUCUAAUUCACCUUCAUUUUCUGCUCUUGUGACUCCUAACUCGAAGCUGUCAAAUUAUAGAUUGAGUACAGGAAGCAUGAAGUUUGGUAUGGGUCUGUCGUCCAAGCAGAGAAGUAUUCCUAAGUUCAGCCUUCCUGAACCUUCUCCAUGUGUUUCGAGUAUUAAGGAAGAAAUUGGCAGAUUAAAAUCCAGACUAUCAAGUUAUUCUUCUAUGGUUAACUUGAGUGGUCAACCUGAACGUUGCAAGGAUCUUGAAAGCAAAUACAUAGACAUUCCUGCUGUGCGUUUAGAAGAACAACUUUCUAGAUUGAAUGGAAACAACGGUGAAUUUGAAAGUUCAUUUAGCACUAGUGGCAGUGUAGUCAAACCUUCAAAAGACUUCCCUAGGCUGAGCCAAAGUGAAGAACCGAAAGGUUUCACUGAUGCUGGAGAAACACCAGGCUAUAUGGCUAUGGCAAACUUUUCCAAUAUGCAACCUAGUGAACCGGCUAUAGAAUUAAAGUCACCCGCUCAAGCUACCUGGACUGAGAAAAAAGAUCUUAUGCAACAUAUUUUGAUUUCUGAAGAUCAUUUGUCGAGGUCAUCUACUAGUAUCAAAAUUGAUGACGUGACGGACAUUGGACCCGAUGACAGAGAACAAAAUGACUCAACUAGUAUACAUGAUACACUUGUUUCAUCUCCUUUGCGAAGUCCAGAUGUAAGGUUAUUAGGAAACAUUGAAUGUCCGUCUGGUAGCUUUGGUGAACUGAAGCAGUGUGACCUACAGGUCAAGCAUGUUAGUGCUUGUUUGACGCAAGGUCAAGCUGCAGCUGCAGAUACAAGCAAUACCAGUCCUUUGACUAAGAUUGCUGACAAUUCAAGUUCAUUGCAAUCCAAAAGUGGAGCUGUGUCAGCUUCACCGUUCCUGAAAGGUCAAUCUUGGGUAGAUGGGGAUGAUAAUGGAGUUAACCUUUCAAAUUUGCAGAAUAAUUUUGUAACAUCUAAGAAUUUGCAACUGUCUUCAAGAGAUGGGAACAUCCUGAAUUCUCGGUUGGAAAGUCCUGCCAAGAGCUCCUCACCGCAGUUUCAAAAGCCUUGGACAAGUGAACGAUCCAUUAUGCAGAGUCCCAUCAAUGGAAUGGCAAACUACAGUCCCAGAAGGAUAAUUUCAACCCAAACAUCAUCUGGGAAGAAAGAGCCCAAGGUUUCCAUCUCUUGUAUGUCGACUCCGAGUCCUUUCAAGAAUGAACGAACUCAGAGUUCUGCAAGGGAAAAGCCAUUUCAAAGUCCCUUCAGGAAUGACCCUUUUAAUGAAACAAAAGACGAUGGGACCUUCAUGAGGAAAGUUAGGGCUUCUCCAACAUCCAGUUUGAGUGGACAUAUUAAUCAUGAUAAUUAUCAAGCAAGCCACAUAUUGGUGAGUUCUUCAAGGAAGACCAAUCACCGCCUUUCAGGGAGCAAGAGAAGAAACAUUGAUUUGAUAACUCUUGACGGGGAUCAGGGUGACAAUGACGUAAUAGUAAGGACUCAGCGAAGCCUAAAACUUAAUCAUAGUGGAAGUUGUAAUGUGGGCUCUCCGUUAGAAGAGUCCAACCAAAUAAGCAAUGGAAGCAAGAGGACUGAGGGCAAUACACUUAUGCAUUGGACAGAUAUGGCAAUAAAGUUUUUAGCAGAGACAAAUGAUUUGCUACCCCCAUCGAUCAACAAGUUGAACGCAAAAGCAAUUGAGAGGCUUGAAGAUACUUUGGUUCACCUUUUGAAGGUUAAAGAAUAUGAACUGCUGUGUUCUGAAAUCCAAUCUCAGAAAGUCAUUGGGAAUCUUGGAGCAAUACGUAAAAGAGUAGUGGAAGCCAGAUCGUUGGUGUAUAAAGUAGCAUAUCAGAAGGCAAAGCUUCAGUUGGUUUGUAUAAAGCGUGAUGGAUAUCAGAAUAGAGCACAGUCAUUGAACUCUCAUUUUGAGGAUUUUCAAAUGUUGAAGUUGAACUAUGACCGCCUCAGGAAAUGUGGUUCAAAGGACAGUCAAGUUGACGAUGGAAAUAGUCUUUCAUGCCCAAUUGAUUCUGAGGCGUCCUGUGAUAGAGCCAGCAUGAUAAAGCACGAAAUUGAAUCUUUAGAUGGGAAGAUAAAGGGAUUAAGCCAAUAUUUUUCAACAUAUUGUGACUUGAAAGGAGUAACUAGUUCAACUGACAUCCUUGGAUUAGUUAUUGAUCAUCUAAGGAAGAGAAAGCUCUGCAGGUCUAUUUAUCAGGGUUUGCAGAUGUGGAAGGUAGAUGAUUUUGAGAAAAAGAAUGAUCAUUACACCAUACUUCUCAACUACCUUAGUUAUGCCUACCAAAGGAUUACAAUUAAAGCCAAUCCACUCCCGGGUGUAACCAUCUUAAAUACAUUGAAUGAUACUCAUAUUGAGAAGAACUUUCCAGAAAUGAAUGCUUGCUGUGCAUUUGCUUUUGUGAUAAACGUUGAGAAGACACGGAAGUAUAAUGCCUCCUGGCAUUUGCCCAAAGAAACUCAAAUGAUGAGUUCUUUUCUACACAACCUGCUGGAUGUGAUUGCGGAAAUGCAGAUAGCCCAGAUAGAGAUUUCAAAUCUCAUCCUAAUAAGAUUUUACUCACCUUCAGACAAGAAGCUCGAUUUGCAGCUUAGUUUCAUCAACUUCCAAAGUGGCAGGAAGGUAAAUCUUGUUCUGGACGUAUCAGAUUUGAGUCGAGGGAUUUACCCUUCUGAAGUUCUUCCGCAUAAGGUCGAAUCUCCUGCUUCGAAUAAAUACACACUCUCAGAGUCAAUGUUAAAUGACAUUAGAGCUGCAGUUGGGAAUUUAGAUUCUGGAUAUUCGAGGAUUUUAAGAGUUUGUAGAUGUGUUUCGGAAGUUGUACAAAGGUCAUCAAGCUGAUGCCGACAAUAGCAUUUUCUCUGUAUUUCUGUAUGUUGCUGGCAGUUCCAGCAUGAUUGUAAAAUCUAGAUUUAUUCAGCUGUCAGGUAUUUUCCCCUUGAAAAUACACGGAGCAAUGAGAAUUUUAGCUAACCCCUUAGGAUGAGUUACCUCGUGAUUUAUGUAUGUAGUUGAAGCUUGCAAUUUAACCAAAUACAUCUAAACUUUGAGCAAGAUCAAUGAUGAUAAAGGCUGAGAUUAAUCAAUCUUGGUUUCAUGACUUUGACGUUUCAUCUAAUAGUUGAAGUUCAUCAUGGAUGAUGGAAAAGUGACUUGUGAGGAUCAAGUUGGAGCUACACCACGAGGUUAAAGCUAUCAGUGCACAGGCUUCAUCAAGCAUCAUCAUUCAAAAUUAGGAAAGAUGGGUUUGAAGAAAAAAAAGAGGUGAAAUCACUUUGCUCGUAUAGCAUGUUCUAGGGAUACAAUAAUGUUGAACAGAGAAAGGUGGGAGGAGGACAAAGCACUUUUGAACACUUUUUGGGUUGGUGGGGUUGAAUGCUUCAUUGUUGAAUCUUUGCUGUCUUUUCUUCAUUUGCCAAGUAGGUCUUCGAUUCCCCUUAAAUCUCUCUCUCUCUCUCUCUCUCUCUCUCUCUUUGAGCUUUGAAGAUAGCAUCUAAGAAACAGGGUUUUGAAGAAGAUCUAUUGCAAUCGACAAUUCGUCUCUCA
Cucurbita moschata (crookneck pumpkin) is the source of this 4865-nucleotide RNA transcript. RefSeq lists it as uncharacterized. The record is from RefSeq and is a predicted model, not a curated record. The transcript has 18 exons. Lineage: Eukaryota; Viridiplantae; Streptophyta; Magnoliopsida; Cucurbitales; Cucurbitaceae.